GCCAGGUUUCUUGGUUCCAUCUUGUUCUUUUCAGAGUUCUCUGCUACUGUCUUGAGAUGUGCAGAAAGAAACUUGAGCGUCUCAUAAUGAUGUUCAGGUAAAUCAUGAAUCAGCCUCUUCAGUGUUUUCAAACGUUCAACUGGAUCUUCUUUUCUAUUGGCAUCUAUAAAAUCUGCAUAUUUGUCAUUGGUGAAAAGGGGUUCUGGGAGCUUUCUGAAGAAGGACUUCAGCAAACUGCUUAUGACAUUCAAGUCUCGCCAUUUCUAAACGUUUAGAAGAAAAGGAGAUAGUCUUUGUAUUUCU
Molecule: long non-coding RNA, 303 nt
Filed under: Gallus gallus (chicken)
Lineage: Eukaryota; Metazoa; Chordata; Aves; Galliformes; Phasianidae
Source: RNAcentral